This 253-nucleotide ribosomal RNA is filed under the name uncultured bacterium. RNAcentral's name for it is "partial 16S ribosomal RNA". It matches the Rfam family "Bacterial small subunit ribosomal RNA", at positions 524 to 776 of the family's 1533-position model. The record is from RNAcentral.
AACGUAGGUUCCGAGCGUUAUCCGGAUUUACUGGGCGUAAAGCGCGUUCAGGCGGUUCGGCAAGUCGGGCAUGAAAUCUCUCGGCUCAACCGGGAGAGGUUGUCCGAUACUGAUCGUCUCGAGGGAGGCAGGGGCAUGCGGAACUUCCGGUGGAGCGGUGAAAUGCGUAGAUAUCGGAAGGAACGCCGGUGGCGAAAGCGGCGUGCUGGACCUCUUCUGACGCUGAGGCGCGAAAGCCAGGGGAGCGAACGGG